Molecule: long non-coding RNA, 201 nt
Filed under: Nicotiana benthamiana
Lineage: Eukaryota; Viridiplantae; Streptophyta; Magnoliopsida; Solanales; Solanaceae
Description: long non-coding RNA (NBEN_LNC002533)
Source: RNAcentral
UGAAAUAUAUGUGUGUAGAAGCCAGAGGUUAUCAACAUGUUAAUACUUAAGUUUUGUUGGUGAUAUCCUUUAUCCAAGCCAAGUAUAAUUUGUCUGUUCUCUUUGCUCAUAUUCCAUAAAUUAGAGAUUUUGUAGAUCUCUUAUUUUUCUUAUUUGGAACUUUGUUUCAGCUACCAAUGGAAACGGGCUGCCACUGAUGGA